Molecule: ribosomal RNA, 253 nt
Filed under: uncultured bacterium
Lineage: Bacteria
Description: partial 16S ribosomal RNA
Rfam family: Bacterial small subunit ribosomal RNA
Source: RNAcentral
UACGUAGGGACCGAGCGUUGUCCGGAUUCAUUGGGUGUAAAGAGCUCGUAGGCGGCCACUCAAGUCGAAUGUGAAACCUCGAGGCUUAACCUCGAGCCUGCAUUCGAUACUGGGUGGCUAGAGUCUGGUAGGGGGAUCUGGAAUUCCUGGUGUAGCGGUGGAAUGCGCAGAUAUCAGGAGGAACACCGGUGGCGAAGGCGGGAUCCUGGGCCAGUACUGACGCUGAGACGCGAAAGCUAGGGGAGCGAACAGG